RNAcentral lists this ribosomal RNA (252 nucleotides) under uncultured bacterium. Its description in RNAcentral is "partial 16S ribosomal RNA". It matches the Rfam family "Bacterial small subunit ribosomal RNA", at positions 524 to 776 of the family's 1533-position model. The record is from RNAcentral.
GACGAACCGUGCAAACGUUAUUCGGAAUCACUGGGCUUAAAGGGCGCGUAGGCGGGCCGCCAGGUCCGGGGUGAAAGCCUCCAGCUCAACUGGAGAAGUGCCUUGGAUACCGGCGGCCUUGAGGGAGGUAGGGCGUGCGGAACUUCGGGUGGAGCGGUGAAAUGCGUAGAUAUCCGAAGGAACACCGGUGGCGAAAGCGGCGCGCUGGAUCUCUUCUGACGCUGAGGCGCGAAAGCCAGGGGAGCAAACGGG